This 23-nucleotide unclassified non-coding RNA is filed under the name Mus musculus (house mouse). RNAcentral's name for it is "oocyte_clustered_small_RNA14385". The record is from RNAcentral. Lineage: Eukaryota; Metazoa; Chordata; Mammalia; Rodentia; Muridae.
CUCUUUCCUUGUACCCCUCCCAA